Molecule: ribosomal RNA, 322 nt
Filed under: Alcaligenes faecalis
Lineage: Bacteria; Pseudomonadati; Pseudomonadota; Betaproteobacteria; Burkholderiales; Alcaligenaceae
Description: bacterial SSU rRNA
Rfam family: Bacterial small subunit ribosomal RNA
Source: RNAcentral
AGCAUCGGAGCUUUACCAUGCAAGUCGAACGGCAGCGCGAGAGAGCUUGCUCUCUUGGCGGCGAGUGGCGGACGGGUGAGUAAUAUAUCGGAACGUGCCCAGUAGCGGGGGAUAACUACUCGAAAGAGUGGCUAAUACCGCAUAGCCCUACGGGGGAAAGGGGGGGAUCGCAAGACCUCUCACUAUUGGAGCGGCCGAUAUCGGAUUAGCUAGUUGGUGGGGUAAAGGCUCACCAAGGCAACGAUCCGUAGCUGGUUUGAGAGGACGACCAGCCACACUGGGACUGAGACACGGCCCAGACUCCUACGGGGAGGCAGCUGAU